This 256-nucleotide ribosomal RNA is filed under the name uncultured bacterium. Its description in RNAcentral is "partial 16S ribosomal RNA". It matches the Rfam family "Bacterial small subunit ribosomal RNA", at positions 524 to 778 of the family's 1533-position model. The record is from RNAcentral.
UACGAAGGGGGCGAGCGUUUGUUCGGAUUUACUGGGCGUAAAGGGCGCGCAGGCGGUCUUGAAAGUCAGGCGUGAAAGCCCCGGGCUUAACCUGGGAAUUGCGCUUGAUACUCUGAGACUGGAGUACGGGAGAGGAGAGUGGAAUUCCCAGUGUAGAGGUGAAAUUCGUAGAUAUUGGGAAGAACACCAGUGGCGAAGGCGGCUCUCUGGACCGUAACUGACACUGAGGCGCGAAAGCGUGGGGAGCAAACAGGGA